This 772-nucleotide ribosomal RNA is filed under the name Escherichia coli. Its description in RNAcentral is "partial 23S ribosomal RNA". It matches the Rfam family "Bacterial large subunit ribosomal RNA", at positions 2159 to 2925 of the family's 2925-position model. The record is from RNAcentral. RNAcentral also lists the same sequence under 1 other name. Lineage: Bacteria; Pseudomonadati; Pseudomonadota; Gammaproteobacteria; Enterobacterales; Enterobacteriaceae.
GAAGUGUGGACGCCAGUCUGCAUGGAGCCGACCUUGAAAUACCACCCUUUAAUGUUUGAUGUUCUAACGUUGACCCGUGAUCCGGGUUGCGGACAGUGUCUGGUGGGUAGUUUGACUGGGGCGGUCUCCUCCUAAAGAGUAACGGAGGAGCACGAAGGUUGGCUAAUCCUGGUCGGACAUCAGGAGGUUAGUGCAAUGGCAUAAGCCAGCUUGACUGCGAGCGUGACGGCGCGAGCAGGUGCGAAAGCAGGUCAUAGUGAUCCGGUGGUUCUGAAUGGAAGGGCCAUCGCUCAACGGAUAAAAGGUACUCCGGGGAUAACAGGCUGAUACCGCCCAAGAGUUCAUAUCGACGGCGGUGUUUGGCACCUCGAUGUCGGCUCAUCACAUCCUGGGGCUGAAGUAGGUCCCAAGGGUAUGGCUGUUCGCCAUUUAAAGUGGUACGCGAGCUGGGUUUAGAACGUCGUGAGACAGUUCGGUCCCUAUCUGCCGUGGGCGCUGGAGAACUGAGGGGGGCUGCUCCUAGUACGAGAGGACCGGAGUGGACGCAUCACUGGUGUUCGGGUUGUCAUGCCAAUGGCACUGCCCGGUAGCUAAAUGCGGAAGAGAUAAGUGCUGAAAGCAUCUAAGCACGAAACUUGCCCCGAGAUGAGUUCUCCCUGACUCCUUGAGAGUCCUGAAGGAACGUUGAAGACGACGACGUUGAUAGGCCGGGUGUGUAAGCGCAGCGAUGCGUUGAGCUAACCGGUACUAAUGAACCGUGAGGCUUAACCUU